This 524-nucleotide ribosomal RNA is filed under the name uncultured bacterium. Its description in RNAcentral is "bacterial SSU rRNA". It matches the Rfam family "Bacterial small subunit ribosomal RNA", at positions 28 to 531 of the family's 1533-position model. The record is from RNAcentral.
GGCUAACGCUGGCGGCGUGUCUUAGCCAUGCAAGUCGAGCGGACUUAUGGGGUAACUUAUAAGUCAGCGGCGGACGGCGGAGUAACACGUAGCUAACCUACCCUCUGGACGGGGAUAACCUACCGAAAGGUGGGCUAAUACCCGAUGUAGUCAUCCUGUAUAGGGGUGAUGAAAGGUGGGCUUCUGUUUACAAGCUCAUGCUGGAGGAGGGGGCUGCGGCCUAUCAGGUAGUUGGUAGGGUAAUAGCCUACCAAGCCGAUGACGGGUAGCCGGCCUGAGAGGGUGACCGGCCCGAGGGGCACUGAGAUACGGGUCCCACUCCUACGGGAGGCAGCAGGCUAGAAAUUUGGGCAAUGGGGGAAACCCUGGACCCAGUGACGCCGCGUGCAGGAAGGAGCCCUUCGGGGUGUAAACUGCUGUCGUGUAGGGAGAAGGGUACUAAGGUGAACAAUCUUAGUACUUGACGGUACUACAGGAGGAAGCCCAGGCUAACCUCGUGCCAGCAGCCGCGGUAAAUGCGUACU